RNAcentral lists this ribosomal RNA (241 nucleotides) under uncultured Flavobacteriaceae bacterium. RNAcentral's name for it is "partial 16S ribosomal RNA". It matches the Rfam family "Bacterial small subunit ribosomal RNA", at positions 98 to 339 of the family's 1533-position model. The record is from RNAcentral. Lineage: Bacteria; Pseudomonadati; Bacteroidota; Flavobacteriia; Flavobacteriales; Flavobacteriaceae.
GCGCACGGGUGCGUAACGCGUAUGCAACCUACCUUUCACAGGGGGAUAGCCCGAAGAAAUUUGGAUUAAUACCCCAUAAUAUUGUUGGAUGGCAUCAUCUGGCAAUUAAAGCUACGACGGUGGAAGAUGGGCAUGCGUCCUAUUAGCUAGUUGGAGUGGUAACGGCACCCCAAGGCUACGAUAGGUAGGGGUCCUGAGAGGGAGAUCCCCCACACUGGUACUGAGACAGGGACCAGACUCC